CAGGCUUAAUACAUGCAAGUCGUGGGGCAGCAUGAGUAGCAAUACUUGAUGGCGACCGGCAAACGGGUGAGGAACACGUACACAACCGUCCUUCAAGCGGGGAAUAGCCCAGAGAAAUUUGGAUUAAUACCCAUAAUAUAUUUGAUAAGGCAUCUUAUUAAUAUUAAAGCUUCGGCACUUGAUGAUGGGUGUGCGGCUGAUUAGAUAGUUGGCGGGGUAACGGCCCACCAAGUCUACGAUCAGUAGCUGAUGUGAGAGCAUGAUCAGCCACACGGGCACUGAGACACGGGCCCGACUCCUACGGGAGGCAGCAGUAAGGAAUAUUGGACAAUGGACGAAAGUCUGAUCCAGCCAUGCCGCGUGAAGGAUUAAGGUCCUCUGGAUUGUAAACUUCUUUUAUAUGGGACGAAAAAAGGGCAUUCUUGUUCACUUGACGGUACCAUAUGAAUAAGCACCGGCUAACUCCGUG
This 469-nucleotide ribosomal RNA is filed under the name uncultured bacterium. RNAcentral describes it as "bacterial SSU rRNA". It matches the Rfam family "Bacterial small subunit ribosomal RNA", at positions 43 to 507 of the family's 1533-position model. The record is from RNAcentral.